This 76-nucleotide transfer RNA is filed under the name Archangium violaceum Cb vi76. RNAcentral's name for it is "tRNA-Ala". It matches the Rfam family "tRNA". Rfam says of the family: Transfer RNA (tRNA) molecules are approximately 80 nucleotides in length. Their secondary structure includes four short double-helical elements and three loops (D, anti-codon, and T loops). RNAcentral also lists the same sequence under 2 other names. The record is from RNAcentral. Lineage: Bacteria; Pseudomonadati; Myxococcota; Myxococcia; Myxococcales; Archangiaceae.
GGGGCUGUAGCUCAGCUGGGAGAGCGCUAGCUUUGCAAGCUAGAUGUCGUCGGUUCGAUCCCGAUCAGCUCCACAA